Molecule: long non-coding RNA, 867 nt
Organism: Bombyx mori (domestic silkworm)
Lineage: Eukaryota; Metazoa; Arthropoda; Insecta; Lepidoptera; Bombycidae
Exons: 2
Source: RefSeq, a predicted model, not a curated record
CACACUUGAAAUAUAAGUUCUAAGGUCUCAGUAUAGUUACAACGGCUGCCCCACCCUUCAAACCGAAACAUAUUACUGCUUCACGGCAGAAAUAGGCGGGGUGGUGGUACCUACCCGUGCGGACUCACAAGAGGUCCUACCACCAGUGAUUACGCAAAUUAUAAUUUUGCGGGUUUGAUUUUUAUUACACGAUGUUAUUCCUUCACCAUAGAAGUCAAUCGUGAUCAUUUGUUAAGUACGUAUUUCAACAGAAAAAUUGGUACCCGCCUGCAGGAUUCGAACACCGGUGCAUCGCUACAUACGAAUGCACCAGACGUCUCAUCCUUUAGGCCACGACGACUUCACAGCGUUAAGGACUAUUACUGUUGGCGUAGAGGCUUUUCCAGUAUCAACAGGAUAGGUGGGCGAGCAAAGGCUCAGCCAAGAGGUGUGGGAUUUGCUAACAGCUGCCCGAGCGCCUCCGAAGGACCCCUAACAACUCAAAAGCAACUGCUUCGCUAAUGAAUCUACUACAGGAUCGGAAUCGCGACAAACUGAGAAGAUCCGGCGAGGAACUUAGCGGGCUAAUGCAUGGGUUAGGUUGCACGUCGAACUAUUUGUCGAGUUCGACGAGUACGGCUACCAGGGUCCUUAGGCUGGCUCUUAGAGUUAGAGCUGAAGGCGUCUAAUGCAAUAAUUAUUGGAUCUGAUGGAUCUGGACGUGUCUAGGGCACGAUGAGAUGGUAUUCCUUACUUCUACCCUCCAUAUUUUCCAUGUAGAAUUUUUCCUCAUAAAAAAAUAAGUUUGAAAUGUCCUAAGUGUAGAAAAAUGUCCUAAGCGUAGAAAAAAAGAUUUAUUUUUGACUUUAAAUAAAAUUUCUAAAAACA